RNAcentral lists this ribosomal RNA (2904 nucleotides) under Escherichia coli. RNAcentral describes it as "23S ribosomal RNA". It matches the Rfam family "Bacterial large subunit ribosomal RNA". The record is from RNAcentral. Lineage: Bacteria; Pseudomonadati; Pseudomonadota; Gammaproteobacteria; Enterobacterales; Enterobacteriaceae.
GGUUAAGCGACUAAGCGUACACGGUGGAUGCCCUGGCAGUCAGAGGCGAUGAAGGACGUGCUAAUCUGCGAUAAGCGUCGGUAAGGUGAUAUGAACCGUUAUAACCGGCGAUUUCCGAAUGGGGAAACCCAGUGUGUUUCGACACACUAUCAUUAACUGAAUCCAUAGGUUAAUGAGGCGAACCGGGGGAACUGAAACAUCUAAGUACCCCGAGGAAAAGAAAUCAACCGAGAUUCCCCCAGUAGCGGCGAGCGAACGGGGAGCAGCCCAGAGCCUGAAUCAGUGUGUGUGUUAGUGGAAGCGUCUGGAAAGGCGCGCGAUACAGGGUGACAGCCCCGUACACAAAAAUGCACAUACUGUGAGCUCGAUGAGUAGGGCGGGACACGUGGUAUCCUGUCUGAAUAUGGGGGGACCAUCCUCCAAGGCUAAAUACUCCUGACUGACCGAUAGUGAACCAGUACCGUGAGGGAAAGGCGAAAAGAACCCCGGCGAGGGGAGUGAAAAAGAACCUGAAACCGUGUACGUACAAGCAGUGGGAGCACGCUUCGGCGUGUGACUGCGUACCUUUUGUAUAAUGGGUCAGCGACUUAUAUUCUGUAGCAAGGUUAACCGAAUAGGGGAGCCGAAGGGAAACCGAGUCUUAACUGGGCGUUAAGUUGCAGGGUAUAGACCCGAAACCCGGUGAUCUAGCCAUGGGCAGGUUGAAGGUUGGGUAACACUAACUGGAGGACCGAACCGACUAAUGUUGAAAAAUUAGCGGAUGACUUGUGGCUGGGGGUGAAAGGCCAAUCAAACCGGGAGAUAGCUGGUUCUCCCCGAAAGCUAUUUAGGUAGCGCCUCGUGAAUUCAUCUCCGGGGGUAGAGCACUGUUUCGGCAAGGGGGUCAUCCCGACUUACCAACCCGAUGCAAACUGCGAAUACCGGAGAAUGUUAUCACGGGAGACACACGGCGGGUGCUAACGUCCGUCGUGAAGAGGGAAACAACCCAGACCGCCAGCUAAGGUCCCAAAGUCAUGGUUAAGUGGGAAACGAUGUGGGAAGGCCCAGACAGCCAGGAUGUUGGCUUAGAAGCAGCCAUCAUUUAAAGAAAGCGUAAUAGCUCACUGGUCGAGUCGGCCUGCGCGGAAGAUGUAACGGGGCUAAACCAUGCACCGAAGCUGCGGCAGCGACGCUUAUGCGUUGUUGGGUAGGGGAGCGUUCUGUAAGCCUGCGAAGGUGUGCUGUGAGGCAUGCUGGAGGUAUCAGAAGUGCGAAUGCUGACAUAAGUAACGAUAAAGCGGGUGAAAAGCCCGCUCGCCGGAAGACCAAGGGUUCCUGUCCAACGUUAAUCGGGGCAGGGUGAGUCGACCCCUAAGGCGAGGCCGAAAGGCGUAGUCGAUGGGAAACAGGUUAAUAUUCCUGUACUUGGUGUUACUGCGAAGGGGGGACGGAGAAGGCUAUGUUGGCCGGGCGACGGUUGUCCCGGUUUAAGCGUGUAGGCUGGUUUUCCAGGCAAAUCCGGAAAAUCAAGGCUGAGGCGUGAUGACGAGGCACUACGGUGCUGAAGCAACAAAUGCCCUGCUUCCAGGAAAAGCCUCUAAGCAUCAGGUAACAUCAAAUCGUACCCCAAACCGACACAGGUGGUCAGGUAGAGAAUACCAAGGCGCUUGAGAGAACUCGGGUGAAGGAACUAGGCAAAAUGGUGCCGUAACUUCGGGAGAAGGCACGCUGAUAUGUAGGUGAAGCGACUUGCUCGUGGAGCUGAAAUCAGUCGAAGAUACCAGCUGGCUGCAACUGUUUAUUAAAAACACAGCACUGUGCAAACACGAAAGUGGACGUAUACGGUGUGACGCCUGCCCGGUGCCGGAAGGUUAAUUGAUGGGGUCAGCGCAAGCGAAGCUCUUGAUCGAAGCCCCGGUAAACGGCGGCCGUAACUAUAACGGUCCUAAGGUAGCGAAAUUCCUUGUCGGGUAAGUUCCGACCUGCACGAAUGGCGUAAUGAUGGCCAGGCUGUCUCCACCCGAGACUCAGUGAAAUUGAACUCGCUGUGAAGAUGCAGUGUACCCGCGGCAAGACGGAAAGACCCCGUGAACCUUUACUAUAGCUUGACACUGAACAUUGAGCCUUGAUGUGUAGGAUAGGUGGGAGGCUUUGAAGUGUGGACGCCAGUCUGCAUGGAGCCGACCUUGAAAUACCACCCUUUAAUGUUUGAUGUUCUAACGUUGACCCGUAAUCCGGGUUGCGGACAGUGUCUGGUGGGUAGUUUGACUGGGGCGGUCUCCUCCUAAAGAGUAACGGAGGAGCACGAAGGUUGGCUAAUCCUGGUCGGACAUCAGGAGGUUAGUGCAAUGGCAUAAGCCAGCUUGACUGCGAGCGUGACGGCGCGAGCAGGUGCGAAAGCAGGUCAUAGUGAUCCGGUGGUUCUGAAUGGAAGGGCCAUCGCUCAACGGAUAAAAGGUACUCCGGGGAUAACAGGCUGAUACCGCCCAAGAGUUCAUAUCGACGGCGGUGUUUGGCACCUCGAUGUCGGCUCAUCACAUCCUGGGGCUGAAGUAGGUCCCAAGGGUAUGGCUGUUCGCCAUUUAAAGUGGUACGCGAGCUGGGUUUAGAACGUCGUGAGACAGUUCGGUCCCUAUCUGCCGUGGGCGCUGGAGAACUGAGGGGGGCUGCUCCUAGUACGAGAGGACCGGAGUGGACGCAUCACUGGUGUUCGGGUUGUCAUGCCAAUGGCACUGCCCGGUAGCUAAAUGCGGAAGAGAUAAGUGCUGAAAGCAUCUAAGCACGAAACUUGCCCCGAGAUGAGUUCUCCCUGACUCCUUGAGAGUCCUGAAGGAACGUUGAAGACGACGACGUUGAUAGGCCGGGUGUGUAAGCGCAGCGAUGCGUUGAGCUAACCGGUACUAAUGAACCGUGAGGCUUAACCUU